This 1399-nucleotide ribosomal RNA is filed under the name uncultured bacterium. RNAcentral describes it as "bacterial SSU rRNA". It matches the Rfam family "Bacterial small subunit ribosomal RNA". The record is from RNAcentral.
UUGAUCCUGGCUCAGGAUGAACGCUAGCGGCAGGCUUAACACAUGCAAGUCGAGGGGCAGCGGGGAGGAAGCUUGCUUUCUCCGCCGGCGACCGGCGCACGGGUGAGUAACACGUAUGCAACCUGCCCCUGUCAGGGGGACAACCCGCCGAAAGGCGGGCUAAACCCGCGUACAUGCCACCGGGGCAUCCCGGAGGCAGGAAAGGCUUCGGCCGGACAGGGAUGGGCAUGCGGCGCAUUAGGCAGUAGGCGGGGUAACGGCCCACCUAACCGACGAUGCGUAGGGGUUCUGAGAGGAAGGUCCCCCACACUGGUACUGAGACACGGACCAGACUCCUACGGGAGGCAGCAGUGAGGAAUAUUGGUCAAUGGUCGGGAGACUGAACCAGCCAAGCCGCGUGAGGGAGGAAGGUACAGAGUAUCGUAAACCUCUUUUGUCAGGGAACAAAGACUGGGACGCGUCCCCGGAUGAGUGUACCUGAAGAAAAAGCAUCGGCUAACUCCGUGCCAGCAGCCGCGGUAAUACGGAGGAUGCGAGCGUUAUCCGGAUUUAUUGGGUUUAAAGGGUGCGCAGGCGGUCUGUUAAGUCAGCGGUCAAAGCCCGGGGCUCAACCCCGGUCCGCCGUUGAAACUGGCAGUCUCGAGUUGGAGAGAAGUAUGCGGAAUGCGCGGUGUAGCGGUGAAAUGCAUAGAUAUCGCGCAGAACUCCGAUUGCGAAGGCAGCAUGCCGGCUCCACACUGACGCUGAGGCACGAAAGCGUGGGUAUCGAACAGGAUUAGAUACCCUGGUAGUCCACGCAGUAAACGAUGAAUGCUGGCUGUCCGGGGGGACUGACCCCUGGGUGGCGAAGCGAAAGCGAUAAGCAUUCCACCUGGGGAGUACGCCGGCAACGGUGAAACUCAAAGGAAUUGACGGGGGCCCGCACAAGCGGAGGAACAUGUGGUUUAAUUCGAUGAUACGCGAGGAACCUUACCCGGGCUCAAACGGGGAGUGGCGCAGGCAGAGACGCCUGUUUCCCACGGGACACUCCCCGAGGUGCUGCAUGGUUGUCGUCAGCUCGUGCCGUGAGGUGUCGGCUUAAGUGCCAUAACGAGCGCAACCCCCGCGUGCAGUUGCUAACAGUCAACGCUGAGGACUCUGCACGGACUGCCGGCGCAAGCCGCGAGGAAGGCGGGGAUGACGUCAAAUCAGCACGGCCCUUACGUCCGGGGCGACACACGUGUUACAAUGGGUGGUACAGCGGGAAGCCAGGCGGCGACGCCGAGCGGAACCCGAAAUCCACUCUCAGUUCGGAUCGGAGUCUGCAACCCGACUCCGUGAAGCUGGAUUCGCUAGUAAUCGCGCAUCAGCCAUGGCGCGGUGAAUACGUUCCCGGGCCUUGCACACACCGCCCGUCAAG